This 468-nucleotide ribosomal RNA is filed under the name uncultured bacterium. RNAcentral's name for it is "partial 16S ribosomal RNA". It matches the Rfam family "Bacterial small subunit ribosomal RNA", at positions 28 to 523 of the family's 1533-position model. The record is from RNAcentral.
GAUGAACGCUGGCGGCGUGCCUAACACAUGCAAGUCGAGCGAUCUUCUUCGGAAGAGAGCGGCGGACGGGUGAGUAACGCGUGGGUAACCUGCCUCAUACACAUGGAUAACAUACCGAAAGGUAUGCUAAUACAAGAUGAUAUAAGAGAUUCGCAUGAAUUUCUUAUCAAAGCUUUUGCGGUAUAAGAUGGACCCGCGUCUGAUUAGCUAGUUGGUAAGGUAAUGGCUUACCAAGGCGACGAUCAGUAGCCGACCUGAGAGGGUGAUCGGCCACAUUGGAACUGAGACACGGUCCAAACUCCGACGGGAGGCAGCAGUGGGGAAUAUUGCACAAUGGGCGAAAGCCUGAUGCAGCAACGCCGCGUGAGCGAUGAAGGCCUUCGGGUCGUAAAGCUCUGUCCUCAAGGAAGAUAAUGACGGUACUUGAGGAGGAAGCCCCGGCUAACUACGUGCCAGCCGCCGCGGUAA